CGGAGGGUGCAAGCGUUAUCCGGAUUCACUGGGUUUAAAGGGUGCGUAGGCGGGCAGGUAAGUCAGUGGUGAAAUCUCCGGGCUUAACCCGGAAACUGCCGUUGAUACUAUCUGUCUUGAAUAUCGUGGAGGUAAGCGGAAUAUGUCAUGUAGCGGUGAAAUGCUUAGAUAUGACAUAGAACACCGAUUGCGAAGGCAGCUUACUACACGAUCAUUGACGCUGAGGCACGAAAGCGUGGGGAGCAAACAGGAUUAGAUACCCUGGUAGUCCACGCCCUAAACGAUGGAUACUCGACAUCAGCGAUACACUGUUGGUGUCUGAGCGAAAGCAUUAAGUAUCCCACCUGGGAAGUACGACCGCAAGGUUG
This 368-nucleotide ribosomal RNA is filed under the name uncultured organism. Its description in RNAcentral is "bacterial SSU rRNA". It matches the Rfam family "Bacterial small subunit ribosomal RNA", at positions 526 to 896 of the family's 1533-position model. The record is from RNAcentral.